Molecule: ribosomal RNA, 581 nt
Filed under: Desmocaris sp. HDB-2008
Lineage: Eukaryota; Metazoa; Arthropoda; Malacostraca; Decapoda; Desmocarididae
Description: partial 16S ribosomal RNA
Rfam family: Bacterial large subunit ribosomal RNA
Source: RNAcentral
UUCGCCUGUUUAUCAAAAACAUGUCUGUAUGUUAAAAUAUAAAGUCUAGCCUGCCCACUGAUAAGGAAUUAAAGGGCUGCGGUAGCCUGACCGUGCUAAGGUAGCAUAAUCAAUAGYCUCUUAAUUAGAGACUUGGAUGAAUGGCUGAAUGAGAGGGUAGCUGUUUUUUCUUUAUUUAUWGAACUUAACUUUUAAGUGAAAAGGCUUAAAUUAUUUAGGGGGACGAUAAGUCCCUAUAAAACUUAAUAUARAUUGUUUAUAGGUAGAAAAUUUUAAAAUAAAUUGUUUAUAACAGAGUUUAUUUCAUUGGGGUGAUGRUAAUAUAAAUAAUAACUGUUAAAUAAAUAUAAUAGAUAUAACUAGGUAGUGAUCCUUCAUUGAGGAUUAAAAGAAUAAGUUACUUUAGGGAUAACAGCGUAAUUUUUUCUGAGAGUUCUUAUCGAUGAAAAUGGUUGCGACCUCGAUGUUGAAUUAAAAUUUCGAUUGGGUGUAGCCGCUCAAUAAGUAAGUCUGUUCGACUUUUGAUAUUUUACAUGAUUUGAGUUCAAACCGGUGUGAGCCAGGUUGGGUUUCUAUCUAAA